This is a long non-coding RNA of Quercus robur (English oak), 1380 nucleotides long. RefSeq lists it as uncharacterized. Lineage: Eukaryota; Viridiplantae; Streptophyta; Magnoliopsida; Fagales; Fagaceae. The transcript has 2 exons. The record is from RefSeq and is a predicted model, not a curated record.
UAGGAAAAAGAAAACAAAAAAUAAAAUACUGUAAAAUGAAACUAAAAACAAUAGCAUGUUAAUCAGUGAAUCUUCUCUUCUCAAAGCUCAGUAAUUCUAAUAAUGGCGUGACCCUCCAUUCUCACAACCAUGUUUCUCUCUCAGUCUCAAUGUUGGAGCCUUUGAGGUAUGAUGGAGUAGAAGUAGCAGUUGUUAAAACACCAUGAUUGUGAGAUUGCCAAGACAAUUGACACCAACUCACCUUUCUCAAAUUAUACGGAACCAGAAAAACCCAUUAACAGCACCCCCAAAUCUUCAAGGAAGCCAAAUACAAGUACCCCAAUUACUAUCAUAAUGGUCCAGUCUAUGCCACCGUCAUUGGCAUCCUUGGAAAUGCUGGUCAGAUUUGUGAGAUGAAAGAGGUGAUUGAUUGGAUGAAAGAAGACUCAUGUGAAUGCAAGGAUUCAGUCUUUGUUAAUGCAAUUAAAACCUAUGCAAGAGCUGGAUUGCUAGAUGAAGCAGUCUCUCUUUUUAAAAGCACUCCUCAAUUCAACUGCGUGAAUAAGACAGAAUCUUUCAAUACCCUGUUUCAGAUAUUGGUCGAUUAAUGAAUCUAAGCUUGAAGCUGCUCAUUGUUUGUUCAUAGACAGCUCUUACGGGUGGGAAAUGAAGUCUCGGAUUGGGUCUUUGAACUUGCUUAUGGAUGCUCUGUGCCAGAGGGAUUGUUCUGAUCUUGCAUUAUAAAUCUUCCUAGAGAUAAAUUAUCAAGGUUGCUAUCCAAAUAAGGAAAGAUAUCGGAUUCUAAUGAAAGAAUUGUGUGAAGAUGGGAGGUUGAAUGAGGCCACCCAUUUGUUGUAUUCAAUGUUUUGGAGGAUAUCUCAGAAGGGUAGUGGUGAGGAUAUCGUAGUCUAUAGAACCUUGUUAUAUGUUUAUGUGAUAAUUGGGACAUUUAAAAUGCUGUGGAAAUUCUUGAUAAGAUUUUAAGGAAGGGGCUAAAGGCUCCUAAGCGAUGUUUCCACCAUCUUGAUCUCAGUCAGUGUAGUACUGGUGAAGAUAUAGAAGGCACCAAGCGUUUGAUUAAUGAAGCUUUGAUCAGAGGUGGGAUUCCGAGUUUGGCUAGUUAUAGUGCUAUGGCUAUUGAUUUGUACAAUGAAGGUAAGAUUAUUGAGGCGAACAAAGUUCUCAUUCAAAUGCAAGAAAGAGCAUUUAGGCCAACGAACUUGAUUUAUGAAGCCAAGGUGGCAGCAUUGUGUAGGGGAGGAAAUGUUGAUGCAGCAGUGAGGGUAAUUGAAGAGGAUAUGGAGGGAAAUUGUGUACCAAAUGUAAGGUCAUAUAAUUGAAGAGGAAAUGGAGGGUAAUUCAAACCCCCUGUUGACUUGAAUUUAUUUUUGUUCCCCUCUU